GCGCACGGGUGAGUAACGCGUAUGCAACUUACCUAUCAGAGGGGGAUAGCCCGGCGAAAGUCGGAUUAAUACCCCAUAAAACAGGGGUCCCGCAUGGGAAUAUUUGUUAAAGAUUCAUCGCUGAUAGAUAGGCAUGCGUUCCAUUAGGCAGUUGGCGGGGUAACGGCCCACCAAACCGACGAUGGAUAGGGGUUCUGAGAGGAAGGUCCCCCACAUUGGUACUGAGACACGGACCAAACUCCUACGGGAGGCAGCAGUGAGGAAUAUUGGUCAAUGGCCGAGAGGCUGAACCAGCCAAGUCGCGUGAAGGAAGAAGGAUCUAUGGUUUGUAAACUUCUUUUAUAGGGGAAUAAAGUGGAGGACGUGUCCUUUUUUGUAUGUACCCUAUGAAUAAGCAUCGGCUAACUCCGUGCCAGCAGCCGCGGUAAUACGGAGGAUGCGAGCGUUAUCCGGAUUUAUUGGGUUUAAAGGGUGCGUAGGUGGUGAUUUAAGUCAGCGGUGAAAGUUUGUGGCUCAACCAUAAAAUUGCCGUUGAAACUGGGUUACUUGAGUGUGUUUGAGGUAGGCGGAAUGCGUGGUGUAGCGGUGAAAUGCAUAGAUAUCACGCAGAACUCCGAUUGCGAAGGCAGCUUACUAAACCAUAACUGACACUGAAGCACGAAAGCGUGGGGAUCAA
Molecule: ribosomal RNA, 676 nt
Filed under: uncultured Bacteroidales bacterium
Lineage: Bacteria; Pseudomonadati; Bacteroidota; Bacteroidia; Bacteroidales
Description: bacterial SSU rRNA
Rfam family: Bacterial small subunit ribosomal RNA
Source: RNAcentral